ACAGAAAAUAAGUAGUCAUAGGCACCUCUCAUUUACAAUGUUUGAUGAUUUGUUGAAUCAUGACAAUGUGCCAUGAUUGUAUGUAUAAUUUCAUCAUCUUUCAUACCACAGUGGUCAUAAUCUUAUCAUUAAGGGUUCUGUCAUGUUCCAGAAGUCACUGGCCAUUUUUGCCUUCAAUUUGGUUGCCAGUUAAAAUAUUUAUAUAAUUAUUUUAUAAAUAUUUGGUAUAAAUGUUGAAUUAAUAUUAAAAUAAAGUUAUUGACUGUUAUUUUUAUACAAAAUUUAAGAAAAUAUUGUAAUAUGCUUUUUUAUAACACUUGUGCCAAUGUCCUGUAUGGCUGACAUAUUCUGGGUAUUGCAUCUCAUUUUUGUUGGUCAUAAAUUAUUUUUAAUGUUAAUCAAAGUUAAAUUGAUUGUUAAAAAUUUAUUUACCAGCUAAUUAAUAAUUAUAUCACAGAAAAUAUAUUUCGAUCUUAUUAAAUUAUAUCUUUAAAUUAUAAUGCAAUCCUCUAUAGAACUAAAUUACCCCCUUUGUUUUAUUCUAUUUAAUUUAUUGAGGAGAGAGAUGACUUUAGAUGAGGAACUCCACUGGAAAGACAAAUCAUCCAGGGAAAGAUUUCAACAACUAGGUGCCGUAACAGGAAGCCUUUCAUUUGGUGAAUCAACAUCUAAGUUCUGCACUAGGAACAAUAAAAAUUCCCAGUUCUCUGUUGAGAGUGUUGACAACUCAGGAGCAGUCAACACCAAAAGAUGAAAAGAAGAGAAAUUGUAUCCUUUUUGUGAGAUGAUAUCUGAUGGAUAAGUAAGAUGGUAAAAACCGAUCUGAAGUAUUAAGAAUGCCACUCUGGAUCUCGAUGGCCAGAAGAAACUUGAAAACCAUCAAGUACUAUGACUACAAAUAACAAGAAGAAAGAAAAGCAAUAAGAACCUCAUCAACAAAUAAUACCUCUCUCUUUCCAUGUACAUUAUCUAAGUAGGUUCACUUCCCUGGCAAAAACAAGUUGCUAGCUCUGUGUUUGGCAAACUCAUCUAUCUUUACAUCUUAUUUAACUGCUCUCUACUAUAUUUUUAACAAAUACUUUUAUUAGUUUACAUUCAAGUGAUUGUUGCCUUCUUUCUGCCUUGGACCUUGUGGGCUACUUAUUCACACCCCCAUAAAAUGAACAGAUAACUCACAAAUCUUACAAUUCUCUACUGUGAAAGCAAAGUUAAAGAUUUUGGAAUAUUUCAGAAUAUUGGAUUAGAGAUACUUUACCUGUAAUAAUUCUAAAC
Molecule: long non-coding RNA, 1272 nt
Filed under: Androctonus crassicauda
Lineage: Eukaryota; Metazoa; Arthropoda; Arachnida; Scorpiones; Buthidae
Source: RNAcentral